RNAcentral lists this ribosomal RNA (504 nucleotides) under uncultured bacterium. Its description in RNAcentral is "partial 16S ribosomal RNA". It matches the Rfam family "Bacterial small subunit ribosomal RNA", at positions 30 to 523 of the family's 1533-position model. The record is from RNAcentral.
ACUGAACGCUGGCGGCAGGCCUAACACAUGCAAGUCGAACGGUAGCACAGAGAGCUUGCUCUCGGGUGACGAGUGGCGGACGGGUGAAUAAUGUCUGGGAAACUGCCCGAUGGAGGGGGAUAACUACUGGAAACGGUAGCUAAUACCGCAUAACGUCGCAAGACAAAAGUGGGGGACCUUCGGGCCUCACACCAUCGGAUGUGCCCAGAUGGGAUUAGCUAGGUGGUGGGGUAAUGGCUCACCAAGGCGACGUUCCCUAGCUGGUCUGAGAGGAGGACCAGCGACACUGGAACUGGGGCACAGUGCAGACUCCUACGGAGGGAAGCAAUGGGGAAUAGUGCAGCGUGGGCGCAAGCCUGAUGCAGCCAUGGCGCGUGUAUGAAGAAGGCCUUCGGGUGGUAAAGUACUUUCAGAGCGGAGGACGGCAUUAAGGUUGAUAACCUUAGUGAUUGAUGUUACUCGUAGAAGAAGCACCGGCUAACUCCGUGCCAUCAGCCGCCGUAA